AUGGCCGUCAUCAAGAACAGUAGUACCAUGCUGCUGAGUGUGAUGGCUCUCAUGGCCUUGUGUACCACUCUCCCAUCCUGCCAUGCAGUUAGAACACAAGGUAUAGGCAUACAAUUUUCCACUGAUCAGAAUUACAUAUGUAUAGAACAGAGUGCACUGAUGAAAAUUGUUCUGCAGAUGGAUGGAGCAAACAGAUGUGUUUCAAUUGGCAGGGCUGCACUUUGGAUGUGUGUCGUCAGUACUGCUCGCACAGGGGCUUCGAUUGGCAAGGAGCCUUCUGUAAUGGUUCUUCUGACCAGUGUUGCUGCCAAUACAAUGGUCAGAGAUGAACCAACCUUUGUACUCGUAAAAGAAUUCAUCCUGCAAUUCUUGCCUGCAACAGAUUAUCCAGUAAUAAUGAUAAACGUGAUAGAUUUUGAUGUAUAUGAUCCCAUUAAUCUUCCUGCAAGAUUAAUGGCCAACAUAUUCUUGCAAAAUAAAUAAUUGACUCCUA
RNAcentral lists this long non-coding RNA (493 nucleotides) under Oryza sativa Indica Group (long-grained rice). RNAcentral describes it as "lncRNA OsZS97_11G005690". The record is from RNAcentral. Lineage: Eukaryota; Viridiplantae; Streptophyta; Magnoliopsida; Poales; Poaceae.